RNAcentral lists this ribosomal RNA (403 nucleotides) under uncultured bacterium. Its description in RNAcentral is "bacterial SSU rRNA". It matches the Rfam family "Bacterial small subunit ribosomal RNA", at positions 356 to 773 of the family's 1533-position model. The record is from RNAcentral.
UAGGAAUUUUGCGCAAUGGGGGAAACCCUGACGCAGCAACGCCGCGUGAAGGAUGAAGGCCCUCGGGUUGUAAACUUCUUUUAGCAGGAAAGAAAAAAAUGACGGUACCUGCAGAAAAAGCACCGGCUAACUCUGUGCCAGCAGCCGCGGUAAUACAGAGGGUGCAAGCGUUAUUCGGAAUUACUGGGCGUAAAGAGCGCGUAGGCGGUUUGUUAAGUUCGUUGUGAAAGCCCUGGACUCAAUCCGGGAAGUGCAGCGAAUACUGGCAAACUAGAGUAUAGGAGAGGAGAGUGGAAUUCCUGGUGUAGAGGUGAAAUUCGUAGAUAUCAGGAGGAACAACAGUGGCGAAGGCGACUCUCUGGACUAUUACUGACGCUGAGGCGCGAAAGCGUGGGGAGCAAAC